GCUGGAAAGGCAAGGGGAAAAGGAGAAAACAACCUCACGGCACCGUAAAACGGGAAAAUUCGGCCCAAUUCAUCCUAACAAGGGAAAAGCAGACCCUAGAGCUGACCGUUUUCACAGCAGAUGGUUUCACAGCACACAUGAGGUCCUGGCUGGAUGACGCCGAGCGGGCGAGCAGGGAAGGGCCCCACAGGCCAAAAUGUUCCGACCCGGGCUCUGAUCCUGGAAUCUGAUUCAUACGAGUGCAGCCCGGUGCCUCCCAGCUGCUCUACUUAAUGGUGCAGAUCGGAUUACAGCCUCCCGGGUGCCUAAAUUUAGCCCCCCAAAUCCAUACAUCGAUUAGUUUGACAUCCUCAAGUGCCACGCACCCAUUUCAGUAGGAAUUACAAACGCUGGUUCGAUCCAAAGGCUUGGUUUGAAGGCCUUGGCACGCUCCUCGAUGCCCUCAGGGGCUCAGGCUGACAAGGGCAACACGAAACCCGGUGCCCCAACCCUGUGAGACACAGAUCACCUCUGCGCCGCUGUGGGAUGAUUUGUUUUGAGCUGUAACAGCUCCUGGCACACCGUGCCAGCAGGGAACUGGCCGCACGCUUGCUGCGUGCUGACUGCUCUCUCUGCUGGCCAACUGAAAAAUUUUAUUUCCACGAGACAGGCCUGCAGAAAUGCAUCAACCGAGAAAAUGCAUGUCAGAAAAAUAGAGCUUUUUUUUUUCCCCUAAAGUCCCAAACAGGCACAUAAAAGAGGUUGAAUUGAAUAAAUGAUAUUCUUAACAAAAAGGAAGCAGCAGAGGAGAAAGAGGCAGGACAGACAUGGGUCUUCUGUCCCAUCCCAGCUCACUGCAUCCAUAGUUUGGUGGAAGCGAGAGGACCGACCCAUGGGACAGGGUGACCCCAGCGUGGAUGUCAGGCCGUCAAGGCCUUGCCCUAACAUUUUCAGUAGCAAACGUUGUAGUGUUGGGUUACUGGAGAAUUUCCAGUGACCACCAGCACAGAGAAGCCAGGAGAGAGUGGGACUGUGAGGAACUUUUUUCUGUUUGUUCAAUGCCUAAUUCAAGGGUGACCGAGUCCAAAAAGCCACCACACGGGGACUCUCAGCACAUAAAUACUGUAAUAGGAAUGGACUACAGAAAGUCAGGACUUCUCUGUGGGAAAGGACAAGCUAAAGACCUUGAUCCUGAAAUUAGACCAAACGUGGCAAAUUCUCCUAUCUGAGCCUCACUAAAGGGAGCGUGCCAUGGAUUUCAGCCACCAGGAACCAGCUCAGUAGUUUAAUCAAGGAGCAAACUCAUGUCUGGAGGGAUGACAACCUGAUGUUCUACAGCUCAAUGGCUCUGUUGAGUGACGCCCAGGUGCUGGGUUUAUGUGGCGAGGUUUUGGUAGUGGGGGGAGCUGCAAGGGUGGCCUCUGUUUACAACAGAGCAACACGUUUAUGGUGGGAUGUCAACCUCUGAUCUGAUUUAUUAAAAAAAAAAGAAGUUGACUCUUUUGUAAUAAAAAUAAAAGACUUUAUUCA
Non-coding RNA from Anas platyrhynchos (mallard), 1509 nucleotides. Lineage: Eukaryota; Metazoa; Chordata; Aves; Anseriformes; Anatidae. The record is from RefSeq and is a predicted model, not a curated record.